UGUUUCACAAAAACCUAAGAAGUUUUAAUAAUACUUGCUCUUGCGCAUUGCUCCAUAAGUGAACGUAUAUCUGUGCGCUGAAAUAUUUUUAUCUUUUAAUACCCGAUGGUAUUAUAGUAAUAAUGGAGUAUUUUGUUAUAUUAUUGUUUGGUGGUCUAGAGGUAUCUGCGCAAUUCUACAACAUUAUAAGUGAAAACCCGAUAAAACCAGAAAAAUGUAUAGGAUCAGAUGAUAUUUUAUUUGAUCGGCACUGUUGUAUCGUACCAGCAUUUUUUGAUCGCUUCGUGGUGCGAUCUUGCGGUGGAAUUACGGAGAUAUUUGAAGUUCACAAAAAGGAAGGAGUAGCUAUGGGGCGACGCCAUUUUAUUCCAGAUUGCAAUUUCUGGGAAUGCGUUUUAAAAAAAUACAAAAUGCUUAAUGAAGAUAAAUCUGUUAAUAGCGAAAAAUUUUACACUCACUUAGAGAAGUGGGCAUCAAUGAACAAGCCAUUUAGUAGUCUAUUACUGAGUGCGAAGAUUCACUGCAGACAGUAUUUCAUAAUGUUUAUGCCUCUGUCCACUUGCGAAUUUUACAACUUUCUACUAUGCUUUCGAGAUUAUUUGAAGCUAUAUGACUGUCCAGUAUUAGUACAAUCAAAGAAAUGUUACGAAUGGAAGGAAUUCUUCGACGAGUGCAAACAAUAUUAUUUAAUGUAAAAACAAAAGAAUAUCUAAAAUGUUUAUUUCAUGAUAAUUACAAUGAAUGAACUACUUUA
This is a long non-coding RNA of Pieris brassicae (large cabbage white), 754 nucleotides long. RefSeq lists it as uncharacterized. The transcript has 4 exons. NCBI's taxonomy places the organism in Eukaryota, Metazoa, Arthropoda, Insecta, Lepidoptera, Pieridae. The record is from RefSeq and is a predicted model, not a curated record.